GACGAACGCUGGCGGCGUGCUUAACACAUGCAAGUCGAACGGUGAAGCGCCUUCCUUUUUGGUGGGUGGUGAUGAGUGGCGAACGGGUGAGUAACACGUUAGUAACCUUCCCCCUUCUUCUGGAUAACCGCAUGAAAGUGUGGCUAAUACGGGAUAUUCUGGGUCUGUCGCAUGAUGGGUCUGGGAAAGAUAUUGUUUCGGUUGGGGAUGGGCUCGCGGCCUAUCAGCUUGUUGGUGGGGUGAUGGCCUACCAAGGCGGUGAGGGGUAGCCGGCCUGAGAGGGUGGACGGUCAUGCUGCGACUGAGCCACGGACACGACUACUACGGGCGGCAGCAGUGAGGAAUCUUGAACGAUGGGAGCAAGGAUGAUGCAGCGACGCGGCGUGAGGGAUGGAGGCCUUCGGGUUGUGCACUUCUUUCGCCAGUGAAGCAGGCCUGACUCGUCUGUGGGUGGGUUGACGGUAGCUGGAUAAGAAGCGCCGGCUAACUACGUG
RNAcentral lists this ribosomal RNA (494 nucleotides) under uncultured bacterium. RNAcentral's name for it is "partial 16S ribosomal RNA". It matches the Rfam family "Bacterial small subunit ribosomal RNA", at positions 28 to 507 of the family's 1533-position model. The record is from RNAcentral.